GACGAACGCUGGCGGCGUGCCUAAUACAUGCCAGUUGAGCGCUGAAGGUUGGUACUUGUACCAACUGGAUGAGCAGCGAACGGGUGAGUAACGCGUGGGGAAUCUGCCUUUGAGCGGGGGACAACAUUUGGAAACGAAUGCUAAUACCGCAUAAAAACUUUAAACACAAGUUUUAAGUUUGAAAGAUGCAAUUGCAUCACUCAAAGAUGAUCCCGCGUUGUAUUAGCUAGUUGGUGAGGUAAAGGCUCACCAAGGCGAUGAUACAUAGCCGACCUGAGAGGGUGAUCGGCCACAUUGGGGCUGAGACACGGCCCAAACUCCUACGGGAGGCAGCAGUAGGGAAUCUUCGGCAAUGGACGAAAGUCUGACCGAGCAACGCCGCGUGAGUGAAGAAGGGUUUCGGAUCGUAAAACUCUGUUGGUAGAGAAGAACGUUGGUGAGAGUGGAAAGCUCAUCAAGUGACGGUAACUACCCAGAAAGGGACGGCUAACUACGUG
This 497-nucleotide ribosomal RNA is filed under the name uncultured bacterium. Its description in RNAcentral is "partial 16S ribosomal RNA". It matches the Rfam family "Bacterial small subunit ribosomal RNA", at positions 28 to 507 of the family's 1533-position model. The record is from RNAcentral.